AUAAACUUAACAUCAAUAAAACCAAAGUCGCCACCGCACUUUUAUUGUUUCCAAAGGAAAAUGGAAAAGUACGAACAAAACCCAAAGAUAAGAAGUUUUCAAAUCAAAACUAAUAAAAUGCCAGAGAUUACAGGUAAGGGGGUUGGUUACACAAAUGGAAUGUGUUAGCACUCAAAGUGUCCUAAGUACUCCUAGGGAGCACUUUUUAUGUGUGCAUGUGUUUUUGGUAUAAAAGAUGUUUGAUGAAAAUAGAGUGUGGGGAUGAUAAGAGAAUUCAUUGAUUAUAUUUUUGUGUUUGACAAGACCUUCGGCCUUGUGCCUACGUACCAAUAUAAAACUGAGGGAUCAAAACCUCGUAGUUCGUGGUAAAAAUUUCAAAGUUGGUGAAUUGCUUUUAACAAAA
This 403-nucleotide long non-coding RNA is filed under the name Lathyrus oleraceus (garden pea). Its description in RNAcentral is "Pisum sativum (pea) long non-coding RNA (PSAT_LNC001888)". Lineage: Eukaryota; Viridiplantae; Streptophyta; Magnoliopsida; Fabales; Fabaceae. The record is from RNAcentral.